RNAcentral lists this ribosomal RNA (531 nucleotides) under Idionychus excisus. Its description in RNAcentral is "eukaryotic LSU rRNA". It matches the Rfam family "Eukaryotic large subunit ribosomal RNA", at positions 748 to 1267 of the family's 3401-position model. Lineage: Eukaryota; Metazoa; Arthropoda; Insecta; Coleoptera; Scarabaeidae. The record is from RNAcentral.
CCGCCUCGCACUCCCGGGGCGUCUCGUUCUCACUGCGAGAAGAGGCGCACCCAGAGCGUACACGCUGGGACCCGAAAGAUGGUGAACUAUGCCUGGUCAGGACGAAGUCAGGGGAAACCCUGAUGGAGGUCCGUAGCGAUUCUGACGUGCAAAUCGAUCGUCGGAACUGGGUAUAGGGGCGAAAGACUAAUCGAACCAUCUAGUAGCUGGUUCCCUCCGAAGUUUCCCUCAGGAUAGCUGGCGCUCGCUUCUCGCGAGUCUCAUUCGGUAAAGCGAAUGAUUAGAGGCAUUGGGGUCGAAACGGCCUCAACCUAUUCUCAAACUUUAAAUGGGUGAGAUCUCCGGCUUGCUUGAACUGUGAAGCCGCGAGAUAUCGGAUCAGAGUGCCAAGUGGGCCACUUUUGGUAAGCAGAACUGGCGCUGUGGGAUGAACCAAACGCAGAGUUAAAGCGCCUAAAUCGACGCUUAUGGGAUACCAUGAAAGGCGUUGGUAACUUAAGACAGCAGGACGGUGGCCAUGGAAGUCGGAAU